GACGUAGGGCGCGAGCGUUGUCCGGAUUUAUUGGGCGUAAAGAGCUCGUAGGCGGCUUGUCGCGUCGACUGUGAAAAACCCGCAGCUCAACUGUGGGCUUGCAGCCGAUACGGGCAGGCUAGAGUUCGGUAGGGGAGACUGGAAUUCCUGGUGUAGCGGUGAAAUGCGCAGAUAUCGGGAGGAACACCGGUGGCGAAGGCAGGUCUCUGGGCAUUAACUGACGCUGAGGAGCGAAAGCAUGGGGAGCGAACAGG
This 254-nucleotide ribosomal RNA is filed under the name uncultured bacterium. RNAcentral's name for it is "partial 16S ribosomal RNA". It matches the Rfam family "Bacterial small subunit ribosomal RNA", at positions 524 to 776 of the family's 1533-position model. The record is from RNAcentral.